Mercurialis annua (annual mercury) is the source of this 520-nucleotide long non-coding RNA. RefSeq lists it as uncharacterized. The transcript is spliced from 3 exons. The record is from RefSeq and is a predicted model, not a curated record. NCBI's taxonomy places the organism in Eukaryota, Viridiplantae, Streptophyta, Magnoliopsida, Malpighiales, Euphorbiaceae.
UUCAUACCAGUUUUGAUGAAACUUUCGGCAAAAUGGGGUUUCUUCGUCCGACAACUGUUUUUGAUGAUUCUUUCGCCGAUUUUUUAAAAAUUCGAUCCUCUAUCAUUCUAAGACUUCAAUUCAAGAUCUUACAUGCUAUUGGAAUGGAGAAGUGAAGGAUUUGGAAGGUUAAGCAACGGGAUAUUUUAUAUUUGCUUUUAAAAAUUUGAUUAAGCGAUCGAGUGUUUUCUUUCAGGAUUAACAUAUGACAAUGUGGUCGAGCUUCCAUUCGUUGUUUCAGAAGUUUCAUUUAUGGGAGGUCUUAUUCUUCUUAGAGCUCCAGUAGUCAUGAUAGUAGACCUAGCUAGUAGCAGACGAUUUAUGUUUAUAUUAUGCCCUGCUAAAAUGAUGUAUUUUGGGAAAAUAAAUUAUCCAGGGAUUUAAUAUAUGGUUAAUUGGUAUUUUAUACAGAGUGGUUUGUGUCUUUUCACAGGUGUGGUUUAUUAAGUUUACAGGCGUUAUAUUGCCGAUUUUUCGAAAA